AAGAAACGUGACUGUGCAGUGUCAUUGGCCAGACAAUAUGCUCGAAGAUGUAACGUUUGUUCUCCUGAAAACAAGUACCAGAAAGCGUGGAUAGCACCAGCAACCUGAAGGACAAAGGAGACUUCUCCCUUAAGGAACGUGACAGUCAAUGACACUGGAAACUACAGCUGCGUCUACUACCAAAGGCUCCUUUCUUGGCCUCAGACCCCAGUAACCACCUUGAAAUCUUGGGCUGUGUGCUGUCCGAGGAAGCAGGGGGACCGACGGGACGCUCCCCAAGCCCUUCCUCGGCGCCUGGCCCAGCUUUCUGGCACCUGCCGAGGGUGACCC
Molecule: long non-coding RNA, 330 nt
Organism: Lontra canadensis (Northern American river otter)
Lineage: Eukaryota; Metazoa; Chordata; Mammalia; Carnivora; Mustelidae
Exons: 3
Source: RefSeq, a predicted model, not a curated record